Molecule: long non-coding RNA, 322 nt
Organism: Cervus elaphus (red deer)
Lineage: Eukaryota; Metazoa; Chordata; Mammalia; Artiodactyla; Cervidae
Exons: 3
Source: RefSeq, a predicted model, not a curated record
GAAACCAGGAGGAAGGUAUCUCCCAAAGAAAUGCCCUCCCCAAGAUGACUAUUCAACUGCAGAUGGCUAGCACAGAAAUUCAGCCAACAGUGAUCACCAGUCAAGAGGAAAAAAAGGAGUUUUCAAGGAGUUUGGUGCAGAGGAUAACAUCUAUCCAAACCUUACUAAUCUACCUUUUAAGGAAUGAGAAUAGGUGGAAGAAAGCGCCUUGGAGAAGGUUGUGACUCAAGGUCCCACUGGAAGCCAGUAGCCAUGUGGGAGCUGCUCCCUGGAGGGCAGACCGUCCUGACACCGCAGCCUAACCGAGAGGCCCUGACCCAUG